AGGUAUUAAGGAAGUGGUCUAUCUUUCUGAUAAGUACCAUGACACACCGGAGAUGACCGCCUCAAGAAGGCUGAUGGGUUUGGCAGGCAUACAAUACAGGCAGUUCAAGCCCAAGAGGACUCAGAUUGUCAUUGAUUUUAAUUCCAUUAACCACGCUGGAAUGCUGAACAGUGCUACCAAGUGAAAAAGCAAAAGGCUCACCUUGGGGAGCUCCUGAAUGAGGCGAGGAAGAAAAGGGAGUCUGACGAAAUUGAAAGGGACUUUGAUGCCUUUUCUCUUGCCCCCUGCUUUGUCCAAAGGAAACCUGAAGGAUACCUCGACUUUGGCAUCUUUUUGAUAUUUUGAUUAACCGGAUACUCAAGAUAGUUUAAUUUGAUGCUCAUCCUUUGUGGAUGUGUGUGGCAGAAGGACUUUCAAUGCUGUUUUCACACUUUUUUCUUUUGAACUCCCUUUGGGUUUGGGCAUACACAAGGACAUACACUUUCUUUAGUGUUUCAAAUCUUUAGUGUUGUCAAUCAGAUCUUGUCAUGGCUUUCUGCACAAGGGCAAACCAACAGUCCUUCAGACAAGGUUCCAGAUUAGUAUAGAGUCGCCUUGACAUUCACUCUACUCUACUCCACUCUACUGCCAAGUAAAAUAUGAAAACUUAAAGCAAACCUCUAAAAAGGGUUCUCUGCAGCUCCCAGGAGGCUUUGGCAGCAGGCCAAUGAGUAAGAUCUGGUAGCUGUAUUUCCAAUAAAAUAUUUUAUUCAAUAACAAAAUAAAACCUAUUUUCCAGAUGACACAGAUAGAUGGAGCUGCUUUGUGCAUGCCCUAAUUAUUCUAAUAUUAACCCGGUCCUUCUUUGCUCAUGAGAUCUCCAUCCCAUGAGUAAAGCCUUGAAUGAAUGCAUGAAUCUCAACACUAUGAACAUGUUAAUGUGUGCGGUUUUUUUUUUUUUUAAUAUAGUCCCUGUAGAGGGAUAUAAAUAUUUGUUUUAGUGACCAUUUUACAAUGGGUUUUCUGAAAGAUGUUGCUCUUCUUUUAUAACAUGUUUUUUUUUUUUUUAAAUGACUUUCCAUUUUCUAUUGCAACACAAGUCUGCAGAUGCUCUAUAUCUAUAACAAUGUAUUUUUGAUGUUUCUUUCCUGGUACCAAAAAGCAUGUCUUUCCUAUGGGUCAUAAUACUGUAGAUGAAAACUAACAUGCUGUUAACUUUGGAAGCUAAUGUUUGUCUUCAUAACAUUCUGUGUCUCCAGACCUUCAUUCCUUGUCAGCUCUCAGUUGAAGUCAAUAAAACAUUUGGACGGCAUGAUC
This is a long non-coding RNA of Notothenia coriiceps (black rockcod), 1296 nucleotides long. RefSeq lists it as uncharacterized. NCBI's taxonomy places the organism in Eukaryota, Metazoa, Chordata, Actinopteri, Perciformes, Nototheniidae. The transcript has 2 exons. The record is from RefSeq and is a predicted model, not a curated record.